AUUGGAUUAAAUAAAACAUAUCAUUAAAUUACUUUCAUCUGCUUCUUUGUACUUUUUUAAAGCAGACACUAGUGUCGGGGGCGGAGACGGGUGGAGAAUCCCCGCAGUCCCUGGCCUGACUCUCCCGACAACACAGAAGAUUGUGGAAGAAUCAGACAGAGAUCGAAGUUGUACUUUUAUUCAGCAAGCAUGCAAGAGUACAGCUGCCUUUUCUCAGCGAGACAGCAAGGAGGCCGUGACCAGAUGUAGCCUUUAGUUUUGGACAUCUCAACCUCCAGAACUGUGAGCUGGAUAAACUUCAAUUGUUUGGAAUGUCCCCAAUCUACAGCAUUCUGUUAUUGCCACAGAAAAUGGACUACAACAUCAGGCAUUCUGGAGACAAAGUACUUCUGAUCUUGGGAAUGUUUGAGUGAUAAUGGCACCAGUCAUUCAAUGAUGUCCACUCACAUUGAGGGUGGACCUUUCUGUCAGUCUGCAGCCUACCAACUCACAUGUUAAUGUCCUCUGGAAACUCUCACAGACUGCUGUGGUGUGGACAUCCCCUCCAAAACUCACAUGUCAACAUAAACCCCCAGCAAAGCAAGGCAACUCCCUUUGGAAGUACUGAAAAGUCAUGGGUCUCACAGAUGUCUGGAAUUUUCCUCAUUACCAGUGCAUGACAGCUGCCUAAUCUGCUUAGACAGCUCAGCACUCACAGUGAAUACUAGCAGAUGACAAAAUGCACAAGCUGAGAAAUAUUAAUGGAAAAACUGAGAAGCAGCCCCCUGUGUAUAGCUCACAACUUGCUUUGCUGGACAUGAGGUGUAUAAGACUUACUUUGUCAGACUUAACAAAUGAACCUGACUUAUGUACAUUCUCAUUCUGGAAUGGAACUUGUUGAAAUGAUGUCAAAUGAUGUUGGAC
This 903-nucleotide long non-coding RNA is filed under the name Heterocephalus glaber (naked mole-rat). RNAcentral describes it as "lncRNA (ENSHGLG00100028429.2)". The record is from RNAcentral. Lineage: Eukaryota; Metazoa; Chordata; Mammalia; Rodentia; Bathyergidae.